Molecule: small RNA, 6379 nt
Filed under: Pongo abelii (Sumatran orangutan)
Lineage: Eukaryota; Metazoa; Chordata; Mammalia; Primates; Hominidae
Description: retained intron
Source: RNAcentral
GCGCCCGGUCACUCAGCAAGGCGUCCACGGCCAUCAACUGGCUCACAAAAAAGUUCCUCCUCAAGAAGGCCGAGGAGUCGGGCAGCGAACAGGCCACAGUAGACGCCUGGCUGCAGCGCUCGAGCUCCCGCAUGGGUUCCCGCAAACUCCCCUUCCCGUCGGGUGCCGAGAUCCUGCGGCCCGGGGGCCGGCUCCGAAGGUUCCCCCGCAGCCGCAGCAUCUACGCGUCAGGCGAGCCCCUGGGCUUCCUGCCCUUCGAGGACGAGGCCCCCUUCCAUCACUCGGGCUCCCGCAAGUCGCUGUACGGGCUUGAGGGCUUCCAGGACCUGGGCGAGUAUUAUGACUAUCACCGCGACGGCGACGACUACUACGAUCGGCAGUCACUCCACCGCUACGAGGAGCAGGAACCCUACCUGCCGGGCCUCGGCCCCUACAGCCCGGCCUGGCCACCCUACGGCGACCACUACUACGGGUACCCGCCCGAGGACCCCUACGACUACUACCACCCCGACUAUUACGGUGGCCCCUUUGAUCCGGGGUACACCUACGGCUACGGCUACGGCUAUGACGAUUACGAACCCCCAUAUGCGCCCCCAUCGGGGUACUCGUCUCCUUACAGCUACCACGAUGGGUACGAGGGCGAGGCGCACCCAUAUGGCUACUACCUGGAUCCCUAUGCGCCGUACGACGCGCCAUACCCACCCUAUGACCUCCCGUACCACAGUCCCUACGAUGUACCCUACUUUGAUCCCUACGGGGUCCCCUACACCGUCCCCUAUGCCGAAGGCGUAUAUGGCGGUGGGGACGAGGCCAUCUACCCCCCCGAGGUGCCCUAUUUUUACCCGGAGGAGUCGGCCUCGGCCUUUGUGUACCCCUGGGUACCACCGCCCAUCCCGUCGCCCCACAACCCGUAUGCCCACGCCAUGGAUGACAUCGCCGAGCUGGAGGAGCCGGAGGACGCGGGCGGGGAGCGUCAGGGGACCUCCUUUCGCCUGCCCAGCGCCGCCUUCUUCGAGCAGCAAGGCAUGGAUAAGCCCGCCAGGUCCAAGCUGUCCCUCAUCCGCAAGUUCCGCCUCUUCCCGCGACCCCAGGUGAAGCUGUUUGGGAAGGAGAAGCUGGAGGUGCCCCUGCCACCCUCUCUGGACAUUCCUCUACCCUUGGGGGAUGCGGACGAAGAAGAGGACGACGAGGAGCUGCCCCCGGUGUCCGCUGUGCCCUACGGCCCCCCUUUCUGGGGCUUUCUCACGCCGCGCCAGCGCAACCUCCAGCGCGCGCUGUCGGCCUUCGGCGCCCACCGGGGCCUGGGCUUCGGCCCGGAGUUUGGCCGCCCCGCGCCUCGCCCUGCCACCUCGCUGGCGCGGUUCCUCAAGAAGACGCUGUCGGAGAAGAAGCCCAUCGCGCGGCUCAGGGGCAGCCAGAAGGCCCGGGCGGGCGGCCCUGCGGUCAGGGAGGCGGCCUACAAACGCUUCGGCUACAAGCUGGCUGGCAUGGACCCAGAGAAGCCCGGCACGCCCAUCGUGCUGAGGAGGGCCCAGCCGCGCGCUCGCAGCAGCAACGACGCGCGCCGCCCGCCCGCGCCACAGCCCGCGCCCAGGACCCUCUCCCACUGGAGCGCGCUCUUGUCUCCGCCCGUGCCCCCGCGGCCCCCCAGCCCCGGGCCCCCGCCCGCGCCGCCGCUCUCCCCGGCGCUCUCGGGCCUGCCCCGGCCGGCCUCGCCCUAUGGCUCCCUCCGCCGCCACCCGCCGCCCUGGGCCGCCCCAGCGCACGUGCCCCCGGCGCCGCAGGCCAGCUGGUGGGCCUUCGUGGAGCCCCCUGCCGUGAGCCCGGAGGUGCCCCCCGACCUACUAGCCUUCCCCGGGCCCCGACCCUCGUUCAGGGGCUCCCGCCGGAGAGGGGCGGCCUUUGGCUUCCCCGGGGCCUCCCCACGGGCGUCGCGGAGGCGAGCCUGGUCACCGCUGGCCUCGCCCCAGCCCUCGCUGAGGAGCCCGCCAGGCCUCGGCUACUGCUCACCCUUGGCGCCCCCGUCGCCUCAGCUGCCCUUGCACACGGGCCCCUUCCAGCCGCCCUUCCCGCCCCCAGCUCGCUCGCUGCAGGAGUCCCCAGCCCCACGCCGAGCCGCUGGGCGCCUGGGCCCACCUGGCUCGCCGCUGCCGGGCUCACCCAGGCCGCCCUCGCCGCCCCCGGGGCUGGGCCACAGCCCGCGGCGCCGCUCCCUGAACCUGCCCUCGCGCCUCCCGCACACGUGGCGGCGCCUCAGCGAGCCGCCCACUCGGGCUGUGAAGCCGCGAGUGUGCCCGCCCUUCCACCGACCGCCCAGGUCCGGGGCCUGGCGGGCGCCCCUGGAACACCGGGAGAGCCCGCGAGAACCCGAGGACUCAGAGACGCCCUGGACCGUGCCCCCACUGGCCCCCACCUGGGACGUGGACAUGCCUGCCACCCAACGCCCACCCUCCCCCUGGCCAGGAGGUGCAGGCAGCCGCCGAGGCUUUUCCAGGCCACCCCCUGUGCGGGAAAACCCCUUUCUCCAGCUCCUGGGCCCUGUGCCAUCCCCCACUCUCCAGCCUGAGGAUCCAGCUGCUGAUAUGACCAGGGUCUUCCUGGGCAGACACCAUGAGCCCGGGCCUGGACAGCUCACCAAAUCAGCUGGCCCAACCCCUGAGAAGCCUGAAGAAGAGGCCACCCUGGGGGACCCCCAGCUGCCAGCAGAGACCAAGCCUCCAACCCCGACACCUCCCAAGGAUGUCACUCUCCCCAAAGAUGUCCUCCCAGAGCAAAAGACAUUAAGGCCCAGCCUCUCAUACCCACUGGCUGCGUGUGACCAGACCAGGGCCACAUGGCCACCAUGGCACCGCUGGGGGACACUGCCCCAAGCCGCAGCCCCCUUGGCACCCAUCAGGGCCCCAGAGCCCCUGCCCAAGAGGGGUGAGCGGCGCCAGGCAGCCCCUGGGCGUUUUGCUGUGGUCAUGCCUCGUGUGCAGAAGCUGAGCUCUUUCCAGCGAGUUGGGCCUGCAACCCUGAAGCCUCAAGUCCAGCCAACCCAGGACCCCAAGCCGAGAGCCUGUAGUCUUCGCUGGUCCUGCCUCUGGCUUCGGGCAGAUGCCUGUGGACCCUGGCCACGAGUACACACCCAUCCCCAGUCCUGCCACCUGGGCCCUGGAGCCGCCUGCCUGUCCCUUGGGGGCUCCUGGGAGGAGGUUGGCCCCCCAAGCUGGCGGAACAAGGUAUGGAGGCACAGAUUACAGGGAGGGUUUGAGGGUUCUGGCCUAGGAAACAAGACAAGAGAGACAGCCUGAGGAGCCCUGUGCAACCUUGGAGAGAGGCUGCUUGCUGGGGCCUCAGUCUCUGGGUCUGUAAGUUGGGGAGAACAGCCUGGACCUCCCAGAACCUCUGGAGGGUUGAACAAGGGGAUGCCCAACACAGGCAGGCACAGGACAGAGACGUGGGAAACUGCUUCCAGGUCACUCUGGGGAAGGAUCUUUGUUCAUAUUCAGCUUGGGCCCUGGGCAGCCCUGCUCUGAUCCAAUCUGGAUGACAGGUCUGGCCCCUAACUUCCCCUCAGAGAUUUUGGCCAAGCCAGAUGUGAAACUGCCGGACAUCCCUAUCCAUCCUGUUCCACCGCACAUCCAGGUCUGUGCGGUUCCUCCUGCCUCCUACUGACCCUCCCCCAAAUUAAAGCCUCAUCUUUCCUCAGGGUUUUUGCUGCCCUUUGAAGUCCCCUGGGCUGCAGGAUUCUGGAAUAGGUCAGGGUGAGGGGCUCAGGAUCCAAACUUCCAGACUCCUCAUUGCACAGAGGGAAAACUGAACCAGGAGUCCUUCUGGAACCCCAUGUGGGGUGCAGGGUAGGCAGCCCUUCGGAGGGGUGCCCAGCCCAUGCCUGGCUACCACACUCAAGGCGGAACUCGAGCCUGAUGCUGGGUGGCCCUUGGCCGAGGUGCGUGGUCACCGGAGCCUCUCUCGGGAUGCCGGGGUGGUGGGCGGGGCAAGCAGGGGCAGCGGGUGCGUCUCAGCCUCUGCAGACCGUGCCUGGCGGAGCAGGCAGCCAGCCGGUCCCAACAAUGGCAACUGGGGCAGCCUGGCUGCUGGGGGGGCCCUGGCCCCGGCGGCGGGUGCCCCGCGCUGUGUGGGCUGCAGCGUUGCGGGAGCGGGGCGCGGGGCGCCUAGGGGUGAGGGGCAAGGAUGCCUGGGCCCUCCUCACCCUGGAAUACGUGAGUGGCUGAAUUAUUCAGGGUCUGUGGCUGCUGGCAAGCACGUGGGCAGAUGGGUGGGCCAGAGGCCAGGGCCGAAAGGGUGAUACUCGCUGUGCCCUACUUAGCAGUCCAGUGACAGGCAUGCAGGGCUCCCUCCUGGUGUCCUCUUUCCUUGCCUGCUCAGGGUGCAGCUGGGAUUGGAAAGGCUGAGGAUGUACACAUGUGUGCUCCCAGUCAUGUGGAUCCUGCACAGGCCUGCAUGCCUGAGCAUGUGUGCAAGUGUUUACCACGGCCAAAUGACGAAAGCUAGUGUAUGAGGUCUGAGCAGAUGUGGCAUCCCUGGGGGUCAGGGUUGUUUGCCCACCCUCUGCCCAUGUGCACAGACGUGUGCUCACAGAGGAGACCCUGCAGCCCAAAGGUGGCAUCAGGAUUUCCAUUCGCUAGACCCCUAGGGUAGGGAGGGACCCAGCUGUGCGCCCAGAUAUAUGUGCCAAGUGGACAGGUACAGCAUGUGCCUGCACACUGUGUGCCUCCAGCCAGGCCCCACAGGCCUGCGUAUGUGCCCACAGGCCUACAGGAACACCUGUGUGCCUGGGAGUUGUAUGAGCUGUAAAUGCCAUUGAGUGUGGGUCCAUAUGCAGGUGUCCACACAUUUUCCCCGGGAUGAGCAUGGGGGUGUGGUGCUAAGUAACAGUCUCCAUCUCUGCCCUCCUAGAGGCCCCAUGCACCAGGUCACAAGUGUCCUUUGAGUUGUCACACAAGCCAGCAUGUGGGGUCUGCUGGUGCUGGAAGAGCUGCGGUUGGGAGGGAGCUGACCCGUGCACCCAUGUACCUGCACAUACCUUUGCUCACCCCCCAGGGCAGGACACUUGGGAGCUCAUGGGAGCGCCUGCCUGGGCACUGAGGGCAUGUGUGUGUCUCAUGUGUGAGGGCCGCAUACAGGUUCUGGGGGCCACAGCAUUCUGUAAUGAGGAGACCUGCAGGACCCACCUGGCCUUGGGGUUCCCUCUCCAACAAUGGUAGCAGGCCCCAGGUAUGACCAAGCCGGGGGCCAGUGGGGGAGGGGGGUGCCCUUCGACCUGCAGACACAGCCUCUCUCUCACACAGAUGCACUCCAUCCGCAACCUGCCAUCCAUGCGGUUCCGUGAGCAGCACAGGGAGGAUGGUGUGGAGGACAUGACGCAGCUGGAGUGAGUGGGCAGGGCCGGCGGGCUCAGCAAGGGGUCACCGUGGGGUCCCCCCCCCAGUCAGAGCGGCUCCUCCUGCAGUUGCCUCUCACCUCCCAGGACAUUUUCAGAGGCUCAGUCAUGAAGUGUCACAAAGACUAAAUGUGGUGUGCUUUGUGAGUUAGACGGACUUUGGUUCUAAUCCUAGCCCCACCACUCACCAGCUGGCAGACGUUGCACAAAUCGCUUUGUUUCUCUGCACCUCAGUUUCUCAUCCACAAAAUGGGAGUGGGAUGGCUGUUGUGAGGAUGCCAGCACAUUGGAGGUACUCAAAACAUGAGGACUGUGUUGGUCAGCAUCAUUAUCUAAUCACGGUGAUUACAUAAGAGUAUCCCCCAAGCCCCCAAUGAAGUAGGUACAAUGAUUAUCAUACCCAUUGGACAAAUGAAGAAACAGGCACAGAACGGGGAAGUAAUUUGCCCAAGGUCUCCUAGCUGGUUGGAGUCAGAAAUAGGACUUGAAUUCAGGCCUAUCUGAUCAAGGCACUGCACUGAGUUGGGGAGGGAGACCCAUACAAGAACCAGCCCUGGGGGCACUGACGGCUUCUCUCUGUGCCCUUCUAGAGACCUCCAGGAAACCACUGUGCUGUCCAACCUCAAGAUGAGAUUUGAACGGAACCUCAUCUAUGUAAGGCCUGGGGCUGGCCCUGCCCUGGACCUAGGUCAGGAAGGCAGCUGCCUCCUGGGGCCGGGUGGGACGCACAGAUUUCUCUUGUGGGCCUGAGCCCCUGUGGCCUCUGCCUAGAAUGCCAGAGCCUAGAACUAAAAUCUGAAGUCUUAAAACACAGUCUUAGAAUGGUGGAUGCCAGAGGCCGAGCGCAGUGGCUCACGCUUGUAAUCCCAGCACUUUGGGAGGCCGAGGCAGGCGGAUCACAAGGUCAGGAGAUCGAGACCAUCCUGGCUAACAUGGUGAAACCCCGUCUCUACUAAAAAUACAAAAAAAAAAAAAAAAAAUUAGCCAGGUGUA